RNAcentral lists this ribosomal RNA (497 nucleotides) under uncultured bacterium. RNAcentral describes it as "partial 16S ribosomal RNA". It matches the Rfam family "Bacterial small subunit ribosomal RNA", at positions 28 to 507 of the family's 1533-position model. The record is from RNAcentral.
GAUGAACGCUGGCGGCGUGCCUAAUACAUGCAAGUCGAGCGAACGGACGAGAAGCUUGCUUCUCUGAUGUUAGCGGCGGACGGGUGAGUAACACGUGGAUAACCUACCUAUAAGACUGGGAUAACUUCGGGAAACCGGAGCUAAUACCGGAUAAUAUUUUGAACCGCAUGGUUCAAAAGUGAAAGACGGUCUUGCUGUCACUUAUAGAUGGAUCCGCGCUGCAUUAGCUAGUUGGUAAGGUAACGGCUUACCAAGGCAACGAUGCAUAGCCGACCUGAGAGGGUGAACGGCCACACUGGAACUGAGCCACGGUCCAGACUCCUACGGGAGGCAGCAGUAGGGAAGCUUCCGCAAAGGGCGAAAGCCUGACGGAGCAACGCCGCGUGAGUGAUGAAGGUCUUCGGAUCGUAAAACUCUGUUAUUAGGGAAGAACAUAUGUGUAAGUAACUGUGCACAUCUUGACGGUACCUAAUCAGAAAGCCACGGCUAACUACGUG